RNAcentral lists this ribosomal RNA (253 nucleotides) under uncultured bacterium. Its description in RNAcentral is "partial 16S ribosomal RNA". It matches the Rfam family "Bacterial small subunit ribosomal RNA", at positions 524 to 776 of the family's 1533-position model. The record is from RNAcentral.
UACAGAGGUCCCAAGCGUUGUUCGGAUUCACUGGGCGUAAAGGGUGCGUAGGCGGUCGGGUAAGUCUGAUGUGAAAUCUCGCAGCUUAACUGCGAAACUGCAUUGGAUACUAUCCGGCUAGAGGAAUGGAGGGGAGACUGGAAUACUUGGUGUAGCAGUGAAAUGCGUAGAUAUCAAGUGGAACACCAGUGGCGAAGGCGAGUCUCUGGACAUUUCCUGACGCUGAGGCACGAAAGCCAGGGGAGCAAACGGG